GGUUAAGUGACUAAGCGUACACGGUGGAUGCCUUGGCAGUUGGAGGCGAUGAAGGACGUAUUAACUUGCGAUAAGCUUAGUCGAGCUAGUAAAAAGCACUUGAGACUAAGAUUUCCGAAUGGGGAAACCCACCUGUUUACAGGUAUCGUUAACUGAAUACAUAGGUUAACGAGGCGAACGCGGAGAACUGAAACAUCUAAGUACCCGUAGGAAAAGAAAUCAACCGAGAUUCCGGAAGUAGCGGCGAGCGAAACCGGAACAGCCCUUAAGCUUAUUUGUGAUUAGUGGAAUGCUCUGGAAAGUGCAGCGACACAGGGUGAUAGCCCCGUACAUGAAAAUCUAUAGUAAGUGAAAUCGAGUAGGUCGGGACACGUGUUAUCUUGACUGAAUAUAGGGGGACCAUCCUCUAAGGCUAAAUACUCCCAACUGACCGAUAGUGAACCAGUACCGUGAGGGAAAGGCGAAAAGAACCCCUGUGAGGGGAGUGAAAUAGAACCUGAAACCGUGUACGUACAAGCAGUAGGAGCAUACUUGUUAUGUGACUGCGUACCUUUUGUAUAAUGGGUCAGCGACUUAUAUUUUGUAGCGAGGUUAACCAAUUAGGGGAGCCGUAGGGAAACCGAGUCUUAACUGGGCGUAUAGUUGCAAGGUAUAGACCCGAAACCCGGUGAUCUAGCCAUGGGCAGGUUGAAGGUUGAGUAACAUCAACUGGAGGACCGAACCCACUAACGUUGAAAAGUUAGGGGAUGACUUGUGGCUAGGAGUGAAAGGCUAAUCAAACCGGGAGAUAGCUGGUUCUCCCCGAAAUCUAUUUAGGUAGAGCCUCGGACGAAUACUUACGGGGGUAGAGCACUGUUAAGGCUAGGGGGUCAUCCCGACUUACCAACCCUUUGCAAACUCCGAAUACCGUAAAGUAAUAUCCGGGAGACACACGGCGGGUGCUAACGUCCGUCGUGAAGAGGGAAACAACCCAGACCGCCAGCUAAGGUCCCAAAGUGUAUGUUAAGUGGGAAACGAUGUGGAAAGGCCCAGACAGCCAGGAGGUUGGCUUAGAAGCAGCCAUCCUUUAAAGAAAGCGUAAUAGCUCACUGGUCGAGUCGGUCUGCGCGGAAGAUGUAACGGGGCUAAACAUACCACCGAAGCUGCGGCUGCAUACUUAUGUAUGCGGGGUAGGGGAGCGUUCUGUAAGCCGUUGAAGGUGAACCGGGAGGUUUGCUGGAGGUAUCAGAAGUGCGAAUGCUGACAUGAGUAACGAUAAUGCGGGUGAAAAACCCGCACGCCGGAAGACCAAGGGUUCCUAUCCCAUGUUAAUCAGGGUAGGGUGAGUCGACCCCUAAGGCGAGGCGGAAACGCGUAGUCGAUGGGAAACGGGUUAAUAUUCCCGUACUCGGCAUGAAUGCGAUGGGGAGACGGAGCAGGCUAGGCAAGCAUGGCGUUGGUUGUCCAUGUGAAAGUAAGUAGGUUGAGAACUUAGGCAAAUCCGGGUUCUUAAGACUGAGAUACGAGACGAGUCACUACGGUGAUGAAGUUGUUGAUGCCAUACUUCCAGGAAAAUCCUCUAAGCUUCAGUUCAUGCUGAAUCGUACCCCAAACCGACACAGGUGGUCAGGUAGAGAAUACUAAGGCGCUUGAGAGAACUC
Molecule: ribosomal RNA, 1640 nt
Organism: Pseudoalteromonas ulvae
Lineage: Bacteria; Pseudomonadati; Pseudomonadota; Gammaproteobacteria; Alteromonadales; Pseudoalteromonadaceae
Rfam family: Bacterial large subunit ribosomal RNA
Source: Rfam